This 2261-nucleotide long non-coding RNA is filed under the name Homo sapiens (human). Its description in RNAcentral is "non-protein coding lnc-LOXL1-1:2". The record is from RNAcentral. Lineage: Eukaryota; Metazoa; Chordata; Mammalia; Primates; Hominidae.
ACUUGAACCAGGGAGGCAGAGGUUGCAAUGAGCCGAGAUAGUGCUACUAUACUCCAGCCUGGGUGACAGAGUGAAACCCUGUCUCAAAAAAAUAAUAAAAAUAAUAAAACAAAACAAUGGGACUUGUAUUCUCAGUCAUUAACCCUUAUUAAAAAGUUACAAUCAUUAAAAUAGGGCAACAAAUACCAAUGUAAGAACGAUGUGAUAGGCCAACGGAACAGAACGGUAAACCCAGUCAAACACACAAAAAUAUUUAGUGUAUGAUAAAAUGGCCUUUCAGAUCAUUGGAAAAUGAUUAAUUUAUUUAUAAUUCAUUUGGGGAUAGUUGGUUAAUUUGCUUUAAAGUUAUGUUCUUACCUCUCACCACACAUGAAGACAAAAUGAAGAGUUUAAUAUAAAAAGUGAAAUCAUAAAAUCUCAGAAGAACAUUUAAUUGAAAAUUUAUAUGUUCCUGGUGAAGGCAGCGGUUAUGCAACAAUAAAGUCCAAGACCAUAAAGAAAAGAUUAAUAAUCUGACAGCUUAAAAAUGAAGCAUCAAGAAAGUAUUUUAAAAAUUGAUGGAAAUGACAAAUUAGUUGCAUAAUAUGUGACAAAGAGUGAUAUAUGAAAAGGUGCUAAAUAUACAUCUUAUAAACCAAUACUAAAAAGAUGAACAUUACAAUAGAAAAUAGUCAAAGAAUAUGAACAGAAAAUUUACCAUUCAUUCACUCAACAAAUAUUUAUCGAGCACCUCUUCUGUGCCAGACAAGUUUACACAUGGGACACAGCAGUGAACAAGACAAAGGACAAAGGUCCCUGCCCCAAGGAGCUUACAUUCUAUUGGAGAGGGGCAAACAAUAAACAAGUAAAUUAUGAAGUAUUUUAGACGGUGAUAAGUACUACUGGCAAAAAAGAAAAAGAAGGGUUAAGUAAGGCGAUCAGGAGUGAGGCAUGGGGAGCUCAGGGGCUGGGGAGGUCUCAUCAGGAAGGAGACAUUUGAGCAAAGCUUUGAACAGAUUCAGGUAGUUGACCACACAGAGCAGGGGAAAUUGCCAUGGUGCGGCGGAGGGGCAGGAGAAGGCCAAGUUGGCUAGAACAGAAAGAGCAAGGGACCAAGUGGUGAGGACCCUGGAGGCCUUGAACAGGACUUUGGCUUUUAACCUGAGAACCAUUGCAGAGCUUUAAGGAGAAGAGUGAAAUUUUGACUUAUGUCUCAAAAAGGAUCAUUCUGGCUACCAUCUUGAGAGCAGACUUUUGGGGUACAAAGGUAGGAGCAAAUAGACCAUUUAGGAGGUCAGCAAACACAUGGCAACAUGUUCACUCUCACGGGUAACCAAAAAAAUGCAACUAAAAAAAUGUAUUCACCUGUUUUUAACCUAUCCAAUUUUUAAUGUUCUUUUAGAAAACAGUACUCAGUAUCAGUAAGGGUGAAUUACCUUCGGGCAGGUAAAUGGGAACCACCUUUCUGGGACCAGCUGGGUAUUCUGUGCCAAAGCCUCAAAAACACUCAAACCCUUUCACCAGAAAUCCAACUUCUAAUAAAUUAAUCUAAAGGUCUAAUAAUCGCCAGUACUUAUUGAGUGCUUGUAUGCACCAGGCUCUGAACUAAACGCGCUCCAUAUUACCCCCAUUUAAAUUCUUACCAUUAUUCCUGUCUUACAGAAAGAAAAAAGGCAUGGUGAGUCACACAGUUCACAAAUGAGGGCUAGAACCAAACCCAGGCACUGUGACCUGCUACACAGGAGAGGCAGAUAUGAAGAUUUCUUCAAGGGUGCUUAUUACAGCAUCAUUUAUAAUAGCAAAUAAAGUACCCAAAAAAAUCAACAAAGGAGGUGAUUCAUUCAGUUAUGAUUUGUCCACAUAAGUCAGUCAUUAAAAAUCUGGUUAAAGAAAACUCGUUUCCGAUCCAGCCAGGUGCUGAGACAGGCAGAACUUUCCAGAGCUUCUCCUUGGAAGCUGCCAGCUGCUGUGAUGUCCUAUUUCUUGAUCCAGGUGGUAAUCCAGAGGUGUGCUCACGUUGGGAUCAUUCAUCAAGUGGUACACCUAGGAUUUGUGGACUUUUGUGUGUGUGUAUGCUAUACUCAUGUUUUUAAAAGUUAUUUUUGGCCGGGCACGGUGGCUCACGCCUGUAAGCCCAGCACUUUGGGAGGCCGAGGUGGGCAGAUCAUGAGGUCAGGAGAUCAAGACCAUCCUGGCUAACAUGGUGAAAUCCUGUCUCACCUAAAAAAAUACAAAAAAAUUAGCCGUGCGUGAUGGCAGGUGCCUGUAGUCCCAGCUACUUG